CCGUACACAGCCGGUGGACUGAAGUCUCCUCCGAUUCAUCUGAUCUCAGUCAGACAGACGGAGCGCGAGGAAACAGUCAGAGGAGGUGUGAGCAGUACAAUAAGAGCAGAUACUGUACUCUACUACAAGAAUAUCUCAAACCACUAAACCCAUCGUCAUGACAGCCGGAGCGGUGUCGGCUCCCCUUAUCAUUCCCAUCAUCCACCUACAGACACACAGAGCCAAGAACCA
Molecule: non-coding RNA, 231 nt
Organism: Plectropomus leopardus (leopard coralgrouper)
Lineage: Eukaryota; Metazoa; Chordata; Actinopteri; Perciformes; Serranidae
Source: RefSeq, a predicted model, not a curated record